This is a long non-coding RNA of Labrus mixtus (cuckoo wrasse), 476 nucleotides long. RefSeq lists it as uncharacterized. The transcript has 2 exons. NCBI's taxonomy places the organism in Eukaryota, Metazoa, Chordata, Actinopteri, Labriformes, Labridae. The record is from RefSeq and is a predicted model, not a curated record.
GUGUCUGUGCUCCCGCUGUAGCUGCUCCAAGGUGUGCUGAGCUCUCCUAUCGCCCUCCUCUAACCUCUACAGCGGAGCAGAGAUACAGAGACAACACGUCAGAAGAGUGUGUGUGUGUGUGUGUGUGUGUGUGUGUGUGUGUGUGUGUGUGUGUGUGUGUUCUCCACCAGUAGCUUAUCUCAGAUAUUUAGUCUUCAAACACAAAUGCUGACAUACUCAUCCACCACAGCACACAACAACUUGACCUCUUCACACAGAUAAGCUUUCUGGAUGCAGUUUUCUAAAGAGAAUCUGUUGAACUACGUUUGAGCUUCAGAACUUCCUGCUGAUCAGGACCAUGAGACGCCAUCUCGAGCUCGCAGACCUUCAUUUAAGCUAAGCAGGUGUGUGUGCCAUCUGUCAUGUGUGCGCGUGUGAAAACAAAAUGUGUGUGUGCUUGUUUAUGGGAUUUUUUUAAUAAAUGAGAGAGUUAUGUG